RNAcentral lists this ribosomal RNA (882 nucleotides) under uncultured CFB group bacterium CtaxMed-46. Its description in RNAcentral is "bacterial SSU rRNA". It matches the Rfam family "Bacterial small subunit ribosomal RNA", at positions 306 to 1186 of the family's 1533-position model. The record is from RNAcentral. Lineage: Bacteria; Pseudomonadati; Bacteroidota.
UGCCNCACUGGGACUGARACACGGCCCAGACUCCUACGGGAGGCAGCAGUGAGGAAUAUUGGUCAAUGGGCGAAAGCUGAACCAGCCAUUCCGCGUGUAGGAAGACGGUCUUAUGGAUUGUAAACUACUUUUAUACAGGAAGAAUAGUGGCUACGAGAUAGUUAUUUGACGGUACUGUAGGAAAAAGCACCGGCUAACUCCGUGCCAGCAGCCGCGGUAAUACGGNGGGUGCGAGCGUUAUCCGGAUUUAUUGGGUUUAAAGGGUCUGUAGGCGGUUUUAUAAGUCAGUGUUGAAAAGCUCUUGCUCAACGAGGGUCGCGGCAUUGAAACUGUAGGUCUUGAAUUCGGUGGCAGCGGCUGGAAUGUGUAGUGUAGCGGUGAAAUGCAUAGAGAUUACACAGAAGGCCGAUUGCGCAGGCAGGCCGCUACGCCGAGAUUGACGCUGAGAGGCGAAAGCGUGGGGAGCGAACGGGAUUAGAUACCCCGGUAGUCCACGCUGUAAACGAUGAUUACUCGGUGUUGGAGUGAUAUUGAGWCUUCAGUACCCAAGCGAAAGCAUUAAGUWAUCCACCUGGGGAGUWCGUUCGCAWGGAUGAAACUCAWAGGAAUUGACGGGGGCCCGCACAAGCGGUGGAGCAUGUGGUUUAAUUCGAUGAUACGCGAGGAACCUUACCAAGGCUUAAAUGCACAUUGCCGGCAAUUGAAAGAUUGUGUUCUUCGGACGAUGUGCAAGGUGCUGCAUGGUUGUCGUCAGCUCGUGCCGUGAGGUGUCAGGUUAAGUCCUAUAACGAGCGCAACCCCUAUCGAUAGUUGCUAACAGGUCAAGCUGAGGACUCUAUCGAGACUGCCUGCGCAWGCAGSGAGGAAGGUGAGGAUGACGUA